This 231-nucleotide ribosomal RNA is filed under the name uncultured bacterium. Its description in RNAcentral is "partial 16S ribosomal RNA". It matches the Rfam family "Bacterial small subunit ribosomal RNA", at positions 118 to 348 of the family's 1533-position model. The record is from RNAcentral.
UGAGGAACAUGACCUUCGGCGGGGGAUAGCUGGCCCAACGGCCGGGUAAUACCGCGUACGACCACUUUGGGACAUCCCUAGGUGGUGAAAGCAGCAAUGCGCCGAUGGAGUGCCUCGCGGCCUAUCAGCUAGUUGGUGAGGUAACGGCUCACCAAGGCGACGACGGGUAGCUGGUCUGAGAGGAUGGCCAGCCACAUUGGGACUGAGACACGGCCCAGACUCCGUAGGAGG